This 29-nucleotide ribosomal RNA is filed under the name Paragaeumannomyces garethjonesii. RNAcentral's name for it is "Chaetosphaeria garethjonesii partial 18S ribosomal RNA". RNAcentral also lists the same sequence under 1 other name. The record is from RNAcentral. Lineage: Eukaryota; Fungi; Ascomycota; Sordariomycetes; Chaetosphaeriales; Chaetosphaeriaceae.
UCUCGUUGGUGACCAGCGGAGGGAUCAUU